GGAUGGGGCCCCAGACAGCCUCGUCUGGUGGGUGGCAACUCUGCUCAGGGAAUUAGAGAAUGGGCUUUAAGGCCCAUUCUAACCCAAGCCAUUCAUUCUAUGAUUCUAUUAUCUCACAUCAGUCUCUUCUAGAUAGAAUUUCUGAGAGGAAAGUUAAUUAAUCACAAACUGUCAAGGGAGCAUAUUAAAAGACUUUCCAGAGUACCUUUCCCAUGAGUUUUGUUAUAGGAGAAAGUAGCAUGAUCCUCACUUUCUUCAUGGUGGUUUAGUUCAAAGUUUGGUGCUCUCUUUAUUUAAUUCCCUUUUCCAUAAAUGCUUUCUAAUACUCCAGCUUUUCCACCUUUGUACAUUGCAUCCGUUCUUAGUACAGUGAGGAACCAAACAGAGUAAACUACAUUUCUCAGCUGCUGUUUCUCUUCAUUAAGAUUAAGAUUGAUGGCAGUGGGAAGAAGAAAGGGUCUGCAGCUGAUGGAGGAAGGAAGAGGACAAGGAGGAAUGUAGCAGCCAAGACAAAAUGGAAGAGAUGAGGAAAAGGCUCUGGCUGAGAACAUUGAAAGCACAGCUGCUUUCCCACCUCUGAACACACCCAUAUUUGACAGACGAUGGGAAUCCACAUUUUUGAAGAGGCAUUUACAACCCGUUACUAAAGCAAAGGGCCACCAGGGGAAGUGGUCUUCACAAUAGAGGGAAUAUACUGUUAGAGCUGAGUGGAGCCAAGCAGCAGCUCACUCUUUACAAAGAGGGCCCAUGGCAUCUCCACCUGAACCCUUCAAAAGUUCACAGCUCAAGUGAAGGCAAAGUCCAUCCAUCCAGUCUGAUAGAAAGCUUUGCUGAGUUCCUUUGGAGGAGUAUGAGAUCCCUUACAUCUAAGCAAGCUGAAGAUCUGCCCAGGUCCAGGAUCAGAAUCUCUGCUACCAGUUUUCAAAAUGGCAAGACUGCAUUCUUAUCUCAUACUCACAUUUUUGUUGCAAAUUUUGCUGACUUCAAAUUAUAUGUAAAAUAUCCCCUUCCCAAGUGGAAAUAAAUACAUAUGUAAAUGAACAAAAGAACUUCCUACAGCCUUCAGAUUUCCAUCUCUCACAACAAAUUUAUUGUUUUUUUUUUUUUUUUAAUAAUAUGAAACUCACCCAUUGGUUUCCAGCAGCAAAAAGGCCUUCACUUCAGCAUCUCCUUUGGCCUAGAAAACUUCUCUAACUACUGGUGAUGUUAGGUUGCAAAUUAUGGAGCCUGAGGGCUUGCUAACAGUUUAUAUGCCAUCCCCUGCACAAGUGCUUACCAAAAAGACAGUUCUUAUUAGGAGGAACUGCACUGUACAAUUCAGCUAAGACUUACUGGGCAUACCCUUGUUACCUGAGUUUAGAAGCAGUUUAAUUUAAUGUAGCUUGAGGUUCAUGAUGUUUCUCACUGGAACUCACUGCAGGCACACAUGAGAAAACAUGCCCUUUACUUGUUUGCAUUUUAAAAAAGUGUAUAUUCAAAAUUUAAAUGAAAAAAAAAAUCUUUUCAUCUGCUCAGUUUGAGUUUCCACAUUUUCUCUCCCUUUAACAUUUCACCCUGAAACUGCAGUAUUGGAUUCUGAAAGCAUUCCUUAGAUUGUGUUAGUGUGACACCUAUUUGACAAUGUAAAACUGUAUUUUGCUGCGAAUAUUUGCCUUGUCUCAAAAUCUACAGUACUUGCUGGGAAGAUUUCCAGUGUCUUGGGGAGUCUUUCCUGCAAACCUUGUGCAAAACCUGAAGUAUUUUGCUGAAUGAGCUGAAUAUAUUUUGAUUGCCAUCAAGUUGUUCUAAAGCUCACUAAUUCUAUAUUGUUCAGGCUGUACUUUAUUUUAUGCAAUACCAACAUAAAUUGUACUUUUUUCCAUUUGAAAUAAAUUAAUUAGGGA
Molecule: long non-coding RNA, 1883 nt
Organism: Meleagris gallopavo (turkey)
Lineage: Eukaryota; Metazoa; Chordata; Aves; Galliformes; Phasianidae
Source: Ensembl